GCUGUGACGACUUGCGUCAGGUGGCUGGUGUCAUACGCUAAAGCCUCUGCGUCGAAAUCUCGUAUUCUACAAUAUGGCAGUCCCUGUGAUCAGGACUAAUAGAUUACCUGUCAGGUGCAAUGAAGACAAAUGGAGGCAGCUGCAUCCUUUCAAGGCUGAUUCAGAGCUCUGGUUUUAAACGCGCAACAGGGCGAGGGGAUUUUUCCUCAUACAGGAGCAUCCUUUGGAAAAUGGCAUUCGGAAUCCUUUUUCUGAAAGCGCUACAGAUAAGCUGAUAAAGUAGCGGAAAAGCCCUUAAGAUGGCGACGCAAGGAAACCGAGAAUCAUGGAGUGACUUUGGAGAAGAGGGACACCUGGGACACGGCGACGAAGGGAAGCCCCAGCAGCUGCAGGAACACCCCAAUAACAAACUCGGUCAACUCCAGCGCAAAGCCACCUGAUCUCACACACACACACACACACACACACAUUUACAAAAAGAUACAUUUGCAACAAAGUACAAUAGUUUCGACCCCAAAAACCAUGAAGCAUGUGAAACACAACGCAAGGUGCUAACAUUUAUUCGCUUAGCUGCUUGAGAAAUCAAGAGAUUUAAAAAAUUGUUGGGAUGUCAAAUAUGCCAGAGUGUCUCUUAAUGACUAGAUAGCUUUGGUUUUUUUUUACACACACACGAACACACACACAUUCAUGCCUUAAUAUUCUAAUGAGGACCUCUAGAGAGAGUAAAUAUUAAUGAAUGGACAGUAAGACAAACACAAGCAUGUAUUUAUAUUUUUAUGGGGACCAAGUCCCCCUAUUAGCCCUAUAAAGACCUGUCAGGAUAAUGUCCCCACGAGGAUAGCAAUAUCUGACAAUUAUGAUUUGCCUGGAAGGUCCUCAUAAGGAUAGUAGGACAAAUGUGUGUAGGUCUGUAUGUGUCUUAUAGGGACCUGGUCCUUAUAACAAUAUAAAACCAAACACACAUUUGUCUUAUUAUCCUUAUGAGGACCGGUCAAUAAUAUAUUCUAUGCCACUGGAAGGUCCUCGUGAAGGUGUGAGUGUUAAGCAAUAUUUUUAUAGCAUUUUUAAAAUUUCAACCAAAACAAUUUUUAAUACUAAACGAAGAACGUCGAAAUCUUCUGUAAGACGUAUAGCUCACGUCCAGUGAGUCCAGAUUAGAUGCGAGACUAGCCACAGAGCUGUCAAAUUCUCCAUUCUGAUUGGUCAGAAUUAAGUCUGAGCCCUGAUUUGUUUGCUGAAACCAAAUCACAUACAGAUGUAUCGUUUCUAUAGUAACAAAAUGGAAGGAGUCUCCAGUAUCAGCACUUCCAGACAAAAGACUCUUUCGGUAGCGUGAGACGUCAUCUUCUUAUCAUCGCAAAUAAAAAAUUAAUUCAUUAAACGAC
Molecule: long non-coding RNA, 1385 nt
Organism: Hemibagrus wyckioides
Lineage: Eukaryota; Metazoa; Chordata; Actinopteri; Siluriformes; Bagridae
Exons: 3
Source: RefSeq, a predicted model, not a curated record